Long non-coding RNA from Zea mays, 1047 nucleotides. RefSeq lists it as uncharacterized. Lineage: Eukaryota; Viridiplantae; Streptophyta; Magnoliopsida; Poales; Poaceae. The record is from RefSeq and is a predicted model, not a curated record. The transcript is spliced from 2 exons.
CCUAGCCGCCACCUUCUUCUUCCCUGUCCCUUCUUCCUCACGGCAGCGCGCAGGGGACUUCCUCCCUUCCAUGGCUGCCCAGCUGCCGAGCUCCCCUCUUCCUCCCUGUGUUCAGUUUCUCCAACUUGGCGCCCCUGCUAUCUCCCCCAAUGGAGCAUAGCGCAGGGAGCAGCCAUCCCUGGCUCAACAGCAGCUCGACGCCCUCACUUCUCCCCUGCUAUCUCCACUUCUCUGUCCAUGGCGCAGCUCAACGAGGAGCAGCAGUUCUCCUUCAUGGGCGCGAGCCCCUUCUUCCACCUCUGACCGACGCCCCUGUUUCCCCUGCGACUCCCAUGGCCGAGCUCCAUCCCAGCAUGGACGUCGCCCCUUGCUGUUCCUUGCACCCUCCUCUGCGCAGCGCCCCUGUUCCCCUGCUCUCUUUUUUUUUCUUUUUUUCCUAGCAUCCAUGGACGCCAACAGCCGAUCCCAUGGCGUGCUGCCCCCAGCCCGGCGUCCUGCUCCCCCAUGGGCGCUCCCUGUUUUCUUCCACGCACAGCAGCAGGACGCUCAACUCAGCUCCCUCCCUUCCCUGCUCGCCCCAGCCAUAAAUCAUCGCGCAGAGCGCCGUCGGCCUGUUGAGCGCGCUCUCCACUGCCCUGGCGUUUCCCCCUGCUAGCUCCUCCCAUGGACGCCCAGAAAUUCCAGCAGCGAGUCCCCUUCCUCGCUGUUUGUCGUGGUGCCCGCCAGCUGUUCGUCAAAAUGCGCAGCAAGCCGCGCGCUGUCGACUCGCUGUUUCGUGAAGCCCAGUGGGCAGCACCGUCGACGCUCACCGGUUGGUCGCUGUUUUGCGCAGCCCCCAAUCGCGCCGUCGAAACUCGUGCUAACGGUCGACGUCGCGCUUCGCGCCCUACCCAUUCGACGAAACGCCGAGCCUUGUGGACAGUCCAUGCGGCUAAAUCCCGACUUGUUCAGGUUGAAUCCAUGUGACUGACUUACUUGCACAUUUGUCAUUGUCAUGUAUAUAUAUGUAUGUGAAUAUGUUGUAUGCGAAUUAAAAUUCAUGGAGGA